RNAcentral lists this long non-coding RNA (738 nucleotides) under Mus spicilegus (steppe mouse). Its description in RNAcentral is "lncRNA (ENSMSIG00000010939.1)". The record is from RNAcentral. Lineage: Eukaryota; Metazoa; Chordata; Mammalia; Rodentia; Muridae.
UGACUGUGGAAAACUAAUUAAUUACUUUAAAAUCUAAUUUAAAAAUAUAUUUUUAAAGAGGGCACAGUUUUGUGGGGAGCCAAGGAAGCCCUGAGUGAGUGUUUAGUGUCUGACAUGGGCAUGCCCUUGGGAAAUCAGCAAAGCCUUCCCGCUUGGUCAGACUGGGAAAGGUGAAACCUUCUAGCAACUGCAGGCUCCUCUUCCUGGGAGUUUAAAACCUGUGGGUGCUCACUUACAGACACCCCCAAACUACCUAACUCCUCUCACUGUCCUGUAGAAUACAAAUGCACCGAGCAGCUGAGGUGGUCUGCAUCACCCAUUAUAGUCCACACAGCCCAUCUGACCCCAGCGUUUCCGUGUAUGCGUCUGUCAUUUCCUAUGCACCACUGUCCUUUCUUCAUUCCCUUCUCCACCCCUACUCAGAGUUUCAGGACCGAGCCACAAGGAAUGUGGCAGGGUUCCCUGCAGUCUCUCUGCAGGACUUCAGGACUCCCAGACUGACAGGAACCUUGGUGUCGCACAGGGAAGGGAGCAAAGGAAGAAGUGGAUGUCUGUUAAGAAGGUGGCACUUUCUGAUAGGGUGUUUGAAGGUCCUGAUAAUAUCCAGUCUCAUGGGAGUCGAAGCCUGAUAAUAUCCAGUCUCAUGGGAGUCGAAGCCUGAAAGAGGUAAGAGAAUGAGUCUUGCAUAUCUUCACAUAGGGAGAUGUGGUCCAGCCCCUGGAAGCAGCCUAGACUAUU